This 25-nucleotide microRNA is filed under the name Eptesicus fuscus (big brown bat). Its description in RNAcentral is "efu-miR-9236c". Lineage: Eukaryota; Metazoa; Chordata; Mammalia; Chiroptera; Vespertilionidae. The record is from miRBase by way of RNAcentral.
UUUCUAGUUGUAGGACUUCCAUUCA